This 460-nucleotide ribosomal RNA is filed under the name uncultured bacterium. RNAcentral's name for it is "partial 16S ribosomal RNA". It matches the Rfam family "Bacterial small subunit ribosomal RNA", at positions 338 to 795 of the family's 1533-position model. The record is from RNAcentral.
CCUACGGGUGACAGCAGUGAGGAAUAUUGGACAAUGGGCGCGAGCCUGAUGCAGCAAAGCAGCGUGAAGGAUGAAUGCCCUACGGGCUGUAAACCUCUUUUAUAAAGGAAUAAAGUCAGGCACGUGUCCCUUUAUGUAUGUAUUUUAUGAAUAAGGAUAGGCUAACCCCGUGCCAGCAGACGCGGUAAUACGGAGGAUCCGAGCGUUAUCCGGAUUUAUUGGGUUUAAAGGGAACGUAGAUGGGUUGUUAAGUCAGUUGUGAAAGUUUGCGGCUCAACCGUAACAGUGCAAUUGAUACUGGCAGCCUUGAGUACAGUUGAGGUAAGCGGAAUUCGUUGUGUAGCGGUGAAAUGCUUAGAUAUCACGAAGAACUCCGAUUGCGAAGGCAGCCUACUAAACUGCCACUGACGUUGAUGCUCGAAAGUGUGGGUAUCAAACAGGAUUAGAUACCCCGGUAGUC